GGAGGUAUAGCUCAGUGGUAGAGCACUUGUCUACCAUAAAAGAAGCUCUGGUUUCAAUCCCCAGUACUGCAA
Molecule: non-coding RNA, 72 nt
Organism: Ictidomys tridecemlineatus (thirteen-lined ground squirrel)
Lineage: Eukaryota; Metazoa; Chordata; Mammalia; Rodentia; Sciuridae
Source: Rfam